This 681-nucleotide ribosomal RNA is filed under the name uncultured bacterium. RNAcentral describes it as "bacterial SSU rRNA". It matches the Rfam family "Bacterial small subunit ribosomal RNA", at positions 1 to 694 of the family's 1533-position model. The record is from RNAcentral.
AAUUCGAUUGAGUUUGAUCAUGGCUCAGGAUGAACGCUGGCGGCGUGCUUAACACAUGCAAGUCGAACGAUGAUCCCCACUUGUGGGGGGAUUAGUGGCGAACGGGUGAGUAACACGUGAGUAACCUGCCCUUGACUCUGGGAUAAGCCUGGGAAACCGGGUCUAAUACCGGAUAUGACUUCCUGCCGCAUGGUGGGGGGUGGAAAGCUUUUUUGUGGUUUUGGAUGGACUCGCGGCCUAUCAGCUUGUUGGUGAGGUAAUGGCUCACCAAGGCGACGACGGGUAGCCGGCCUGAGAGGGUGACCGGCCACACUGGGACUGAGACACGGCCCAGACUCCUACGGGAGGCAGCAGUGGGGAAUAUUGCACAAUGGGCGCAAGCCUGAUGCAGCGACGCCGCGUGAGGGAUGACGGCCUUCGGGUUGUAAACCUCUUUCAGUAGGGAAGAAGCGAAAGUGACGGUACCUGCAGAAGAAGCGCCGGCUAACUACGUGCCAGCAGCCGCGGUAAUACGUAGGGCGCAAGCGUUAUCCGGAAUUAUUGGGCGUAAAGAGCUCGUAGGCGGUUUGUCGCGUCUGCCGUGAAAGUCCGGGGCUCAACCCCGGAUCUGCGGUGGGUACGGGCAGACUAGAGUGAUGUAGGGGAGACUGGAAUUCCUGGUGUAGCGGUGAAAUGCGCAGA